CCCUUAGAUGUUCUGGGCCGCACGCGUGCUACACUGAUGCAUUCAACGAGUCUAAAACCUGGUCUGAUAGGGCUGGGUAAUCUUUUGAAAGUGCAUCGUGAUUGGGAUAGAUGAUUGCAAUUCUUCAUCUUCAACGAGGAAUGCCUAGUAAACGCAAGUCAUCAGCUUGCGUUGAUUACGUCCCUGCCCUUUGUACACACCGCCCGUCGCUCCUACCGAUUGAAUGGUCCGGUGAAGCGUUCGGACCGUGGCCUUUGGACGGUUCGCCGUCUGUUGGCUGCGGGAAGUUCGUUAAACCUUAUCAUUUAGAGGAAGGAGAAGUCGUAACA
This 329-nucleotide ribosomal RNA is filed under the name uncultured eukaryote. Its description in RNAcentral is "partial 18S ribosomal RNA". It matches the Rfam family "Eukaryotic small subunit ribosomal RNA", at positions 1470 to 1796 of the family's 1831-position model. The record is from RNAcentral.